This is a long non-coding RNA of Balaenoptera musculus (blue whale), 282 nucleotides long. RefSeq lists it as uncharacterized. Lineage: Eukaryota; Metazoa; Chordata; Mammalia; Artiodactyla; Balaenopteridae. The transcript has 3 exons. The record is from RefSeq and is a predicted model, not a curated record.
UUCUAUUUUUUAUUGCAGUAAAUUUGAUUAGAGUGUUGUGAUUGGCUGUACAGAAUCUGCUCAAUGAUUCAUACAUAUGUCUGUUCAUCUUCGGAUCCUGUUACCAUGUAUGUUAUUACAGAAUGUUGAGUAGACCUCCCUUGGUAUUUGGCUCAUGUGUAGUCCUGAAAACGGCAUUGUUCAUUUCUUUUCCGAGGCUACUAUUCCAUUCGGCUCAUCUAUGGUGCUGCAAAGAGCAGUGUUUCAUCCUUUUCCAUGCGAAUAUUCCAUUGUGUACAUGGA